ACGAACGCUGGCGGCGUGCUUAACACGUGCAAGUCGAACGCUGAAGCUCAGCUUUUGUUGGGUGGAUGAGUGGCGAACGGGUGAGUAACACGUGAGUAACCUGCCUCCUUCUUUGGGAUAACGCCCGGAAACGGGUGCUAAUACUGGAUAUUCACUGGUCUUCGCAUGGGGGUUGGUGGAAAGGGUUUUUCUGGUGGGGGAUGGGCUCGCGGCCUAUCAGCUUGUUGGUGGGGUGAUGGCCUACCAAGGCUUUGACGGGUAGCCGGCCUGAGAGGGUGACCGGUCACAUUGGGACUGAGAUACGGCCCAGACUCCUACGGGAGGCAGCAGUGGGGAAUAUUGCACAAUGGGCGCAAGCCUGAUGCAGCGACGCCGCGUGAGGGAUGGAGGCCUUCGGGUUGUGAACCUCUUUCGCUCAUGGUCAAGCCGCAACAAUGGUUGUGGUGAGGGUAGUGGGUAAAGAAGCGCCGGCUAACUACGUG
RNAcentral lists this ribosomal RNA (482 nucleotides) under uncultured bacterium. Its description in RNAcentral is "partial 16S ribosomal RNA". It matches the Rfam family "Bacterial small subunit ribosomal RNA", at positions 29 to 507 of the family's 1533-position model. The record is from RNAcentral.